RNAcentral lists this ribosomal RNA (301 nucleotides) under uncultured bacterium. RNAcentral describes it as "partial 16S ribosomal RNA". It matches the Rfam family "Bacterial small subunit ribosomal RNA", at positions 509 to 807 of the family's 1533-position model. The record is from RNAcentral.
CAGUCGCCACGGUAAUACGAAGGGUGCAAGCGUUACUCGGAAUUACUGGGCGUAAAGCGUGCGUAGGUGGUUGUUUAAGUCUGUUGUGAAAGCCCUGGGCUCAACCUGGGAAUUGCAGUGGAUACUAAGCAACUAGAGUGUGGUAGAGGGUAGUGGAAUUCCCGGUGUAGCAGUGAAAUGCGUAGAGAUCGGGAGGAACAUCCAUGGCGAAGGCAGCUACCUGGACCAACACUGACACUGAGGCACGAAAGCGUGGGGAGCAAACAGGAUUAGAUACCCCUGUAGUCCCUGUCUCUUAUAC